This is a long non-coding RNA of Passer domesticus (house sparrow), 5841 nucleotides long. RefSeq lists it as uncharacterized. Lineage: Eukaryota; Metazoa; Chordata; Aves; Passeriformes; Passeridae. The record is from RefSeq and is a predicted model, not a curated record. The transcript is spliced from 3 exons.
GCUCUGACAGCUACCAGUCUGAGCCCUGCUCUGCUCCUCCACAGCUGUAGGCUGCAGCCCUGACAGUCAUCCCAGCCAUCUACUGCCUGCACAAGUCCACCCAGCUGCUUGAGGAUUCCAGGGAAGUAGGAGGGCUGAUUAGGCAGUGCUUUGACAUCUUUGGAAAUAUAAUGACAGAGAAAAAGCAAGGGCUGUGCUCUGCAGCAGCCUGGAGCCAUCUGCUGGGACAGCUGGGAGCAAUUGGAAGUUACCAACAAGACAAAGCUUCCUGUCAGGGAAGCUGCUGCCCCUGUGGAGCACUGCACACUACUCCAUGGUCGGAGGGAGAGGGGAGUGCCAGCUCCAGCUGUGCAAAGCCCUCAAGGGGGAGUCACUCAGGCUGGAGCUGAAAGAGACCAUACCUGCUGCACAUACCAAGAGAUUAGAAAAGAAGCAGAGAGUGUAGCUGUGGGUGAGUUUCUGCUGAGGCACCUAUCUGAUGGGCUUAUAUACAGUCAACAGAAGUUUACUGCUUGGACAGGAGCUGAAAUCUGGGGUGUCACAGAGAGACUGCCACCACAUGUUAAAAGCACAGACUAUGAUCACCUAAUGCUUUUCCAUGUGGACACCAAUGGCACAGUGAAAAAACAACCCAGGAAAGUUCAAGGAGAACUUCAGAGCCCUGGUAGCACAAGUGAAGAGGAUGGGGCCCAAAUAGUCUUAUCUUGCCAGUCAGAGACAGAGGUGUGGGCAGAAGUGGACACGUCAUGCAAGUCAACACCUGGCUUUGUGGCUGGUGUCAUCACCAGGGCAUUGGCUUCUAUGAUAGUGGAACAUUUUUUUUUUAUGAAUACAAAUUACUAAGGAGAGAUGGGAUACCCCUAUCUCAAAGACCAGGUGAAUCUUCACUGGAAAAUUCAUCGACAGUGAAUUGCACUAUGCACUAAUGAAUUGGGGAGUGCGUUGCAAAGUCACAACCCUUGUGUACUCACAAGCAACGGAAUGGAAGAACACACCUACAGCAGUGACACACAGCCCCAAACACUCCAAAUAGGUUCCAUGAAAAAGACGAGAGUCAACAGUCCAACCAAUUGCAUCUCUAUACCAAUGCAUACAAUAUGGGUAACAAAAAAGAAGAGCUGGAAGACACAAUGGAGCUGGAAAUCUUUUAUCUGAUCACUAUCGAUGAAACCUGGUUGGAUGAAAUCACAUGACUGGAAUGCUGCAAUUGAUGGUUAUAAAAUGUUCUUGAGGAACAGAGGUAGAGGGACUUGCUUUCUACCUAAACAGAUGGAUUGAUUGCACAGAUCUUUCUUUGAAAAGCAGUAAUGCACAGGUCAGGGGCUUAUAGUAAAAAUCAGAGAUCAUGACAACAAAGGAAAUCUUGUGACUGGUAUUUAACAAAGAGUACCUGAUCAAGGGGAGGAUGUCAAUGAAAUGUUCUCACUUCAACUACAGGAAGCAUCAUGCCUGCAGGACCUGCUCCUGAUAGAGUAUUUCAGCCCCCCUGACAUCUGCAGAAAAAGUAGCACAGCAAUCUGCAAGCGGUUCUGGUAACUUUAGGAAUGCUUGGAGGACAACUUUCUAAUCCAGGUGAUAGUAAGCCUAGCCAGAGGAGAUGCAUUAAAUCUGUUGCUCACCAAUACAGAUGAACUUAUUGGAAAGGCCAAGAUUGGUGGUAUCUUGAGCUACAGUGAUCAUGCUCUUAUGGAACUCAUGAUCUCAAGGGAUAUAGAUUAGUAAUAUCUAAAGCAAAUAGUAAAGAUCCUGAAAUUUGUAAAAGUGAAAUGUCAGUCUUCUAAAGGAUCUGGUAGAUGGGAACCCUGGGAAACUGCCUCCAGGGAUAAAGACAUUUUUAUUAGAACUCAAGAAGUAUCAAUUCCUAUGCAUAAGAAGUCAGGCAAAGAAGGCAAGAGAUGAGCAUAACUGAGUAAGGACCUUCUAGCCCAACUGAAACACAAGAGGGAAAUACAUAGGCACUGGAAGCAGGGACACACAUUCCAGAAAGAAUGUAGAGACAGUGCUCAAGAACGUAGGGAUGGGAUUCAGGAAAGCAAAGGCAUAGCUGGAUCUAAAUUUGUCAAGUUAUAUGUAGAAAAAGAGCUUCUACAGAUAUGUUAGUCAGAAAGGAAAGACGAAAGAGAACAGCCCCCCACUCACCAAUAAAUGAGGCAGAGGAUCUAGUGGCAAUGGACAUGGGGAGGCUAAGGUAUUUUAGAACAUUUUCCUCAAUUUUAGCCAGAAACUGUUCUUCCCAUGUCUCUUGAGUCCCUGGAUCUCAAGGCAGAGGGUUCCUGGAACCCAGUGUACCUGACAGUACACAAAUCCAGAGGACCUGGUUAGAUGCAUUCUAGGAUCCUGAGGCACUUGUCCAAUGUGGUCUCAAAGCCAGUAUCCACCAUACUUGAAUCAUGAUCAGGUGAAGUAACCUGUGGCUGGAAAAAGGGAAAUAUCACGCUGAUAUUUAAAAAGGAUAAAAAAGAAGGACCCUGGAACUACUGAUCAGUCAGCCUCACCUCUGUACCCAGUAAGAUCACAGACGAGCUCCUCCUAGAAGCUGUGUCAAGGCAUAUAAAUGACAGGAAGUGAAUAGAGAUGGCCAAUAUGUCUCCACCAAGGACAAAUGGUGCUUGACUAAUCUAGUGGCUUUCUGCAAAAGAGAAACUAUGUUGAUGAAUAAGUUAGGAGCAGUUGUUGUCAUCUACCUUAAUUUCUGUAAGGCUUUUCACAUGAUCCCACAUAACAUUUUGUUGCUAAAUUGUAGAGAUAUGGGGUUAAUGGACAUACUAUUCAAUGGAUAAGAAAUUGAAUCAAAAUCAAAAGUCUUAAUCAAAAGUGUUGCAAUCAACAACUCGGUAUCCAAAUGGAGAUCGGUACAGAAGAGAUGUCUCUCAGAAGACUGUACCAGGACUUGUACUGUUCAAUAUCUUUAUUAAGGAAAAUGGGAAAAUGGUUUAAAAUUGAGAAAGUGUAGGUUUAGAUUGGAUAUACAGAAGAAAGUAUUUGCUAUGAGGGGUGAGAUGCUGGAACAGGUUGCCCAGAGAAGUUGCAAAUGGCCCAUGACCUCACCUAAUGAAAGAUGUCCCUCCUCACACCAGGGGAUUUGGAAUUCAAAAAUACAGCACUGAUGAUGAACUGAAAUCCCAGGCCAUACUGAAGAACAUUUGAAUCCAAAAUUAGAUGUUUCUUCAAAAAUGGAACAUCAAAUAAACUCUCAAACUAUACAUAGGCAGCAGGCAUGAUACUUCUGUCAUGAAUGACUCAUUAGGAAGGAGUGGGAUGCCAUCCUCCUCCGUGCAGACACUGCGGAUCUCGGCGCCUGGAGAGAUGGACAAACCCACAGGGUCACAGCCCCCUUCAGGUGCCACCACCUGCUCUGCCAUGGGGUCCCCCAGGACUGCAGGGGCACAGCCUGUCACCCUGUGGUCUGCACCACGGGCUGUAUAAAUAGGAGAAAUCUUGGUAAACUUCACUUUGUCCUUUUUAUAAUGUGCUGAGUUUUAGGAAGGCAAGCUGAGCUUUUGAAAGUGCUUUUUGAGUUGAAUAUUACUGAGUAAAAUAGUUGAACAUUUAAGAAAUUUUUUUGAGUCUCACAAGAAUUCUAUUAACUAGGGUCUAGUGCAUAACGAAAAUAGUUUCCUCAUUUUUUGCCUUCAGAGAGCUCAUUUUUUAAAUCCAAAUAUAAUCUAAGUUGGAAUAAAAACUGAUGUGGUAACAACAAUCUUAUUAGACACAAUCUUUAAAUUUAUAAUUUUGAUAGUAAAAUGUUUUAUUGUGGAAAUUCAGCUUUUGGAACUUUGGAACAUCUGAAUUUAAGUUAGUGCUUUUAAACUGUACUGCAGAGACUAUAUGGUGUAAGAGAGGCAAGCUCCAUUAAAGAAGAGACAAAAGUUAGGUUCAUGGUACUAGGGGCUCAGUGUGACAUUUAUCUAAUGAAGCUUCAGACGUCUUCCGGAGAGACAUCUGUGCUUGCUGUCAUCAUAGGAUCUACCUCCAUAUGUCCAAUGGAAAGGAACCAACACUUUUAUGCUCUUACAACCUAUUUGUAAUUACUUCUUUAGUGACAUGAAUCAUACAUGUUUUCUUCAGAACCUAAAAAAGUUUUGUGAGGUAUCUGAGAUGUAUUUCUGUAUCUUGCAGUAUUUUGGAGAGUGGAGGAUCCUUUUUGGAAGAUAUAUAAAUCCUUCUUGUAUAAGUAUUAAUGACAAAGUCAUCUGUAACUGAGAAAGAAAUGGAACUGAUAACUUAUGCUGUUUCAUGGGUAAUGUCUAUACAAGUAAAAAAAUUGGUUCAGAACAUGAGCUCAUAACAGUCUGUGAUUGUGGGCACUCUCUAAAUUUUAGCACAGUUUUAGUCCAUUGAAUGGUUUGUGCCAAACAGUCUCCCAGACAAUUGCUGCACUAUCAAGGUAACUGCAUGUUUCAGGGGCCAUUCUCAGUUUGGAUCUGGCCGCCCUCUUUUGAGGGGAAAAAAGUGCCUGAUGAUACACUAUUUAACAUGACCUUACUUGCCAGAGGGUUUCCAUUGCAUGGCUCAAUUUCUACUGUAGGCAUUUCCUUUCAGUCCAUACAUUAUUGCAAGAGUAAUGGCAAAGCAAAGACAAAAUGGUUCCAUUUCUUCUAAACCAUUUUGGUACAGAUCUUCCUAGGAACUUCUAGAAAUCUAAGGUCUUGUGUAAUGUCACAUAAAUUUUGCAAUUUAUUUUAUACAAUCUCUAACAAUUUCAUGGCAUUUCUGUCUUGUAUCUGAAGAGGAAAUAUGCACUUCUUUUGCAAGUGAAGCUCCUAUAGACUCCACUGAGAAUUCCACCAAUGGAUAUCAAGAAGAAUUAGUUCACUAGUGAUUUCCUGUGACAUAAUUAAACUUUAUAUCAUCAAAACCCUGUAGGUCUAAGCAACUUCUAACUCUAAAGCUGUAAGGAGACAUGUAAACAACACCUCGGGAACAUAUUUAAAAGGGAAUGGUGAUUUUUCAGAUACAGUCAAAAAUGCAGCUGUAGCCUUUUUCUUUUUUUUUUCUCCCCCCCCCCCCCCCCCCCCCCCCCAACUAACAAAACACAUCAAACAGCAAAGGAGAAAGAUAGAAGAGGAAAAAAAUUUCAAUGAUUUUGGAAAUGACAAAUAUUUUUUCCCAUGAGGAAGGAAGGAAAAUAUUGUGAGAAUGGAAAUUUCUCUAGCUGGAGGUGUAAACCCCAAAACUAAUAACAAUUUUUUUUUUAUCAUGCAUGCAGAUACAGACAAAAUGAAGUGAUAUUUUAAAAGAGAAUGAAAAAUUAAUAUAUGCUGUUUAAAUUGUUAAGCAAAUGUUACAUUAUUUUAUGAAAUUUUAUGUUUUGCACAUUACUAGAAGUGAAAUAUACUAUAAAGAAGUAAAGAAAAUAUACCAGCAAAAAAUAUGGCCCAUCCUGAUGUUGGCUAACUGCCUGAAACCAUGAUUUGCAUCCAAGGAAAUCUAAACUGCAUAAGCUAGCUCUGCAAUUGACCGUGUCAUUCCCUACAUUGCUUUUAUUAUUACAUAAAAUAUAUCAGAAUCUCAGUGAGAAGUGUUUCAUUUGAGAAUUGACAGUCUUCUACCUUAACAUAAAAUCAGCCAGUACACAGACAUCAAGGUGGUGUUGCAGUAAGUGGUGUUGCAGUAGAGAAACUGUGUUCAGAAAGGCAAAUUUACUAAGCAAAGAAGAGGAGAAGGAGCACAAAAAUGUCUGAAUCCUCACAAUGAAAUAGAUCUCAGCAAGAUCCAGCAUGAACUUAAUCCCCUUCUUUCUUUUGUAUGCUUAUUUCCUAGUGAAAAUAUUCUGACAUAUCUCUUCUGGAAGUGACAUAUAUUGUUUAAUUUCCAAAAUAAAUUAAUGGUCAAUGUGAA